RNAcentral lists this ribosomal RNA (253 nucleotides) under uncultured bacterium. RNAcentral's name for it is "partial 16S ribosomal RNA". It matches the Rfam family "Bacterial small subunit ribosomal RNA", at positions 524 to 776 of the family's 1533-position model. The record is from RNAcentral.
UACGGAGGAUCCAAGCGUUAUCCGGAUUUAUUGGGUUUAAAGGGUGCGUAGGCGGAUUGAUAAGUUAGAGGUGAAAUGUCCGAGCUCAACUCGGGAACUGCCUCUAAUACUGUUGAUCUAGAGAGUAGAUGCGGUAGGCGGAAUGUAUGGUGUAGCGGUGAAAUGCUUAGAGAUCAUACAGAACACCGAUUGCGAAGGCAGCUUACCAAUCUAUAUCUGACGUUGAGGCACGAAAGCGUGGGGAGCAAACGGG